UGGGGAAUUUUGCACAAUGGGGGAAACCCUGAUGCAGCGCCGCCGCGUGAUUUAGAAGGCCUUCGGGUUGUAAAAUUCUUUUCUAUGGGAAGAAAAUGACAGUACCAUAGGAAUAAGGACCGGCUAAUUACGUGCCAGCAGCCGCGGUAAUACGUAAGGUCCGAGCGUUGUCCGGAAUCAUUGGGCGUAAAGGGUACGUAGGCGGGUAAGCAAGUUAGAAGUGAAAUCCUAUAGCUCAACUAUAGUAAGCUUUUAAAACUGCUCAUCUUGAGGUAUGGAAGGGAAAGUGGAAUUCCUAGUGUAGCGGUGAAAUGCGCAGAUAUUAGGAGGAAUACCGGUGGCGAAGGCGACUUUCUGGCCAUAACCUGACGCUGAGGUACGAAAGCGUGGGUAGCAAACAGG
RNAcentral lists this ribosomal RNA (402 nucleotides) under bacterium. RNAcentral's name for it is "partial 16S ribosomal RNA". It matches the Rfam family "Bacterial small subunit ribosomal RNA", at positions 355 to 776 of the family's 1533-position model. The record is from RNAcentral.